Molecule: transfer RNA, 85 nt
Filed under: Caviibacterium pharyngocola
Lineage: Bacteria; Pseudomonadati; Pseudomonadota; Gammaproteobacteria; Pasteurellales; Pasteurellaceae
Description: tRNA-Leu
Rfam family: tRNA
About the family: Transfer RNA (tRNA) molecules are approximately 80 nucleotides in length. Their secondary structure includes four short double-helical elements and three loops (D, anti-codon, and T loops). Further hydrogen bonds mediate the characteristic L-shaped molecular structure. tRNAs have two regions of fundamental functional importance: the anti-codon, which is responsible for specific mRNA codon recognition, and the 3' end, to which the tRNAs corresponding amino acid is attached (by aminoacyl-tRNA synthetases). tRNAs cope with the degeneracy of the genetic code in two manners: having more than one tRNA (with a specific anti-codon) for a particular amino acid; and 'wobble' base-pairing, i.e. permitting non-standard base-pairing at the 3rd anti-codon position.
Source: RNAcentral
GCCUGAGUGGCGAAAUUGGUAGACGCAGUUGAUUCAAAAUCAACCGCCUUCGGGUGUGCCGGUUCGAGUCCGGCCUUAGGCACCA